ACGGCGAGUGAAGAGGGAUUAGCCCAAAUUUGUAAUCUGGCUCUUUCAGAGUCUGAGUUGUAAUUUUGAGAACUGUUUUCUGCUCUGGACCAUGUACAAGUCUGUUGAAAUGCAGCAUCAUUGAGGGUGAGAAUCCUGUUCAUGAUAUGGACUACCAGAGCUUUAUGAUACAGUCUCUAAGAGUCGAGUUGUUUGGGAAUGCAGCUCAAAGUGGGUGGUAAAUUCCAUCUAAGGCUAAAUAUUGGUGAGAGACCGAUAGCAAACAAGUACCGUGAGGGAAAGAUGAAAAGAACUUUGGAAAGAGAGUUAACAGUACGUGAAAUUGUUAAAAGGGAAACAGUUGAAGUUAGACUUGUUGUUGUCAGUUCAGCCCUUUUAGGGUGUUUUCUGAUGAUGAACAAACCAACAUCAAUUUUUGGGUGUUGGAUAAGGGUCUUGGAAAUGUAGCAGUCUUGGCUGUGUUAUAGUCCUUGACUUGGAUACAAUGCUUGGGAUUGAGGAAUGCAGUAAGC
This 512-nucleotide ribosomal RNA is filed under the name Gymnosporangium clavariiforme. RNAcentral describes it as "eukaryotic LSU rRNA". It matches the Rfam family "Eukaryotic large subunit ribosomal RNA", at positions 86 to 604 of the family's 3401-position model. The record is from RNAcentral. Lineage: Eukaryota; Fungi; Basidiomycota; Pucciniomycetes; Pucciniales; Gymnosporangiaceae.